UUCAUUUUUGUAAUAAUAAAGAAUUUAUUAAAGAAUUUUUCAAUCCAAAUCGUAGAUUCAUAUGUGUGGUCAUCUAAAAAGUAUGGAGAAAAGUACAACAUUAUUGAAAGGGAAGAAGAGUUAAAAGGUUCGGGAGAAAUGAGAAAAGGAAUUUGGUUUGCUGCAGCUAAUAUGGAGAAGUGAAAGGGAAAAUAUGUAUCAUGUUUUCAGUCUUUGAAUGAGAUUUAAAUGAGGUGGUAUGUGAAGAAUAAAAGUCAAGCAGGUCCUGAUAGAGAAAAUCUAAACAGAGGAUUCAGAUCCCAAAUCUACACUCAGGCCAAAUUAAAAGGAUUAAAUUUCUCAUUAAAAAAAGGAAAUAAAAUUAAAAUGAACACUAUUAUAGGUAUUCAAAAUAAAAAGAAAAAAC
RNAcentral lists this long non-coding RNA (406 nucleotides) under Prunus persica (peach). Its description in RNAcentral is "long non-coding RNA (PPER_LNC000037)". The record is from RNAcentral. Lineage: Eukaryota; Viridiplantae; Streptophyta; Magnoliopsida; Rosales; Rosaceae.